AUACUAACCUAACGUAGGGGAUACCACGAUCAACGAGGUGGUUCCCCCAGGACUGAAGCAAACCUGCUGAAUCCUGUAAAUACUCCUGAAACUGGAUAUUUGUGCGUUUAAUUUUUGGUAGUGCGGGGUACUAGCGCAUGCGCAGUCCCCGC
This is a small nuclear RNA of Cephus cinctus (wheat stem sawfly), 152 nucleotides long. RefSeq annotates it as U1 spliceosomal RNA. The transcript has a single exon. The record is from RefSeq and is a predicted model, not a curated record. NCBI's taxonomy places the organism in Eukaryota, Metazoa, Arthropoda, Insecta, Hymenoptera, Cephidae.